Molecule: ribosomal RNA, 465 nt
Filed under: uncultured bacterium
Lineage: Bacteria
Description: partial 16S ribosomal RNA
Rfam family: Bacterial small subunit ribosomal RNA
Source: RNAcentral
GACGAACGCUGGCGGCGUGCUUAACACAUGCAAGUCGAACGGAAAGGCCCCUUUGGGGGUACUCGAGUGGCGAACGGGUGCGUAACACGUGAGUAACCUUCCCUUGACUUCGGGAUAACUUCAGGAAACUGGGGCUAAUACCGGAUAGGAAUCCUUGCUGCAUGGUGGGGGUUGGAAAGCUUCGGCGGUUUUGGAUGGACUGACGGCUUAUCAGCUUGUUGGUGGGGUAGUGGCUUACCAAGGCUUUGACGGGUAGCCGGCCAGAGAGAGCGACCGGCCACAUUGGGACUGAGAGACGGCCCAGACUCCGACGGGAGGCAGAAGUGGGGAAUAUUGCACAAUGGGCGGCAGCCUGAUGCAGAAACGCCGCGGGCGGGAUGACGGCCUUCGGGUUGGAAACCGCUUUCAGCAGGGGCGAAGCUUGUGGUGACGGUACCUGCAGAAGAAGCACCGGCUAACUACGUG